AGUUCGAUUAUGGCUCAGAUUGAACGCUGGCGGGAUGCUUUACACAUGCAAGUCGAACGGCAGCACGGACUUCGGUCUGGUGGCGAGUGGCGAACGGGUGAGUAAUGUAUCGGAACGUGCCUAGUAGCGGGGGAUAACUACGCGAAAGCGUAGCUAAUACCGCAUACGCCCUUCGGGGAAAGCGGGGGACCUUCGGGCCUCGCACUAUUAAACGGCCGAUAUCGGAUUAGCUAGUUGGUGGGGUAACGGCUCACCAAGGCGACGAUCCGUAGCUGGUUCGAGAGGACGACCAGCCACACUGGGACUGAACUGGCCAGACUCCUACGGGAGGCAGCAGUGGGGAAUUUUGGACAAUGGGGGAAACCUGAUCCAGCCAUCCCGCGUGUGCGAUGAAGGCCUUCGGGUUGUAAACACUUUUGGCGAAAGAAACGGCGGGAUAAUACCCGUGCAACUGACGGUACCUGCGGAAUAAGCACCGGCUAACUACGUGCCAGCAGCCGCGGUAAUACGUAGGGUGCAAGCGUUAAUCGGAAUUACUGGGCGUAAAGCGUGCGCAGGCGGUUCGGAAAAGAAGAUGUGAAAUCCCAGAGCUUAACUUUGGAACUGCAUUUUUAACUACCGAGCUAGAGUGUGUCCAGAGGAGGUGGAAUUCCCGCGUGUAGCAGUGAAAUGCGUAGAUAUGCGGAGGAACACCGAUGGCGAAGGCAGCCUCCUGGGAUAACACUGACGCUCAUGCACAAAAGCGUGGGGCAAACAGGAUUAGAUACCCUGGUAGCCCACGCCCUAAACGAUGUCAACUAGCUGUUUGGGGCCUUCGGGCCUUGGUAGCGCAGCCCCAACGCGUGAAGUUGACCGCCUGGGAAGUACGGUCAUAAGAUUAAAACUCAAGGAAUUGACGGGGACCCGCACAAGCGGUGGAUGAUGUGGAUUAAUUCGAUGCAACGCGAAAAACCUUACCUACCCUUGACAUGUCUGGAAUCCCGAAAGAGAUUUGGGAGUGCUCGCAAAGAGAACCGGAACACAGGUGCUGCAUGGCUGUCGUCAGCUCGUGUCGUGAGAUGUUGGGUUAAGUCCCGCAACGAGCGCAACCCUUGUCAUUAGUUGCUACGAAAGGGCACUCUAAUGAGACUGCCGGUGACAAACCGGAGGAAGGUGGGGAUGACGUCAAGUCCUCAUGGCCCUUAUGGGUAGGGCUUCACACGUCAUACAAUGGUCGGGACAAGAGGGUCGCCAACCCGCGAGAGGCCAAUCAGAAACCCGAUCGUAGUCCGGAUCGCAGUCUGCAACUCGACUGCGUGAAGUCGAAUCGCUAGUAAUCGCGGAUCAGCAUGUCGCGGUGAAUACGUUCCCGGGUCUUGUACACCGCCCGUCACACCAUGGGAGUGGGUUUUACCAGAAGUAGUUAGCCUAACCCAUGAGAGGGCGAUUACCACGGUAGGAUUCUUGUUGACUGGGGUGAAGUCGUAACAAGGUAG
RNAcentral lists this ribosomal RNA (1475 nucleotides) under uncultured Bordetella sp. Its description in RNAcentral is "partial 16S-23S ribosomal RNA intergenic spacer". It matches the Rfam family "Bacterial small subunit ribosomal RNA". Lineage: Bacteria; Pseudomonadati; Pseudomonadota; Betaproteobacteria; Burkholderiales; Alcaligenaceae. The record is from RNAcentral.